AAUAAUUGUAAUGAGGACUCCUUUUGAGUUUGUAUACUCUCUAGUAGACAAUAUUUGUAUUCAAACUCACAGUUUAUGUUUGGUCAUAUUGUACACGACAAUUGUAUUAUUAAGUUGUAUUUGAAUUCUGUACGAUGUAUCUGGCGACUCAAGAUGGGUGAUGUAUACCUAAUUUUGGGGGCGUCACAUCCUGUCUAUGCGUUUACGCAUGACUUGGUUCCAUUAUUUAUUAUUCUGUUGGAAUAACAUGUUCGUGCGGUCUAUCGAAUGCCUGGUGAUUUCUUUUGUUAUUCCAUUCUGUAUUAU
RNAcentral lists this long non-coding RNA (306 nucleotides) under Panax ginseng (ginseng). RNAcentral's name for it is "long non-coding RNA (PGIN_LNC009689)". Lineage: Eukaryota; Viridiplantae; Streptophyta; Magnoliopsida; Apiales; Araliaceae. The record is from RNAcentral.